RNAcentral lists this long non-coding RNA (233 nucleotides) under Lathyrus oleraceus (garden pea). Its description in RNAcentral is "Pisum sativum (pea) long non-coding RNA (PSAT_LNC025518)". The record is from RNAcentral. Lineage: Eukaryota; Viridiplantae; Streptophyta; Magnoliopsida; Fabales; Fabaceae.
UAACUAAAGCGCAAACGAUCAUGCUAGACGCAGUUGUUCGUUUCAAUCCCUCUUUUGCCUGGACCGCCCUUUCGGGUUUUCAGUCCACCGGGAUACCCUUUUUUGCCCAAGUCGCCUUUCCAGGUUUUCGACUUGCCGGGUGUACAGUUUUCUUUUAUCCCUAAUUUUUGCCCGAACCUUUUCAUUCUGUUUUUGGUUCGCCGGGAUGCCCAUUCUUGCCAGGACUAUUUUAU